CCAGCCUCAGAGCUCAGCAACCGACUUCUCCCUUCAGAAGCUGCCCUUGGCUUCACAGUGACCCACUUUUUCCCUACAGCAGUGACCAUUCCCUCCCACCUCCCAUCUCUGCCCUGGGCCUGGCAGGCACUCAGUUUCUGAAUCCAGCAUGAAGAGGGAAGGAGGGCCCCCAGCUACUCGGGAGAGGACUGAACAACUCACUGUGCUUUGGGAGGUCUCCAACGGCUCCAUCAGACCCCGUGAUCUAUGUGUCUUCUCCAUCGUCUUUCGCCUACAUGCUACACCCAGUGCCUACCAUGUUUUACAAAGCCAAACAAGAUGGUGCUGUGCAGAUAAAAGUGUUUUGAACUCCUUGAAGGGAAAGCAAGAGUCAUGGCCAAGUCAGCGGUGCCCAUUGUCUAUUGAAGAUUUCCUGGCCAGAGAGCAAUAAAAUCUUACGAUUCACAAGACGAAGAAACUAAGGAUUCCAGAAGGAAACUACCUUGUCUGAGGCCACCCAGCAAAUCAAUGGAUGCAGAUUUGAACCCAAAUCUGACCACAGCAAAUGGUACCUGUGUGCUGUCUGAAUCCACACAGCACUCUCUGUUCUAGCGUGUUCUGCUGCAGGCAUCAGCCACUCUCCACUCGAGGGCUUUCUCCCGUCCCAGUGGGGCAGCUGGCGUUCUAGAAGUCAAGGGGAGUUGAGGCGCUGGAAGCAUCUCUCGUGCAGUGACAGAUGGGAGUUGGAGGGUACACACUCCCGGGCCCUCAGCUCCUGG
Molecule: non-coding RNA, 758 nt
Organism: Microcebus murinus (gray mouse lemur)
Lineage: Eukaryota; Metazoa; Chordata; Mammalia; Primates; Cheirogaleidae
Source: RefSeq, a predicted model, not a curated record